Molecule: transfer RNA, 67 nt
Filed under: Alcanivorax jadensis
Lineage: Bacteria; Pseudomonadati; Pseudomonadota; Gammaproteobacteria; Oceanospirillales; Alcanivoracaceae
Also listed under: 8 other names
Rfam family: tRNA
About the family: Transfer RNA (tRNA) molecules are approximately 80 nucleotides in length. Their secondary structure includes four short double-helical elements and three loops (D, anti-codon, and T loops).
Source: RNAcentral
CGGGUAUAGUUCAACGGUAGAACCUCAGCCUUCCAAGCUGAUGAUGCGGGUUCGAUUCCCGCUACCC